UCGGCACAUGUAUUAGAAAUGAGGUAAGAACUUCAUACCUGAAAUUGAAUCUGGUUUCUUUUUAAUGUAAAACUGAUAUGCUGUGACAAAAGUCAGACAGCUUUUACAACACAUAACAGAAGUGGUUGUUAUCCUCAAUGUAGGAAAACAAAGCAACGAACAAGUAAUAUCGGUAAAUAAUUUCCUUAUUGCCGUAGUCUGUAGCUGUUUUCUUGAAUACCAGAAAAUUUUACCUGCACAACUUUGGAU
RNAcentral lists this long non-coding RNA (249 nucleotides) under Zostera marina. RNAcentral's name for it is "long non-coding RNA (ZMAR_LNC005730)". Lineage: Eukaryota; Viridiplantae; Streptophyta; Magnoliopsida; Alismatales; Zosteraceae. The record is from RNAcentral.